UACGUAUGGUGCAAGCGUUGUCCGGAUUUACUGGGUGUAAAGGGAGCGCAGACGGCGCCGCAAGCCGGGCGUGAAAUCCGGGGGCCCAACCCCCGGGCCGCGCCCGGAACUGCGGGGCUGGAGUGCCGGAGGGGCAGGCGGAAUUCCUAGUGUAGCGGUGAAAUGCGUAGAUAUUAGGAGGAACACCGGCGGCGGAGGCGGCCUGCUGGACGGCGACUGACGUUGAGGCUCGAGAGCGUGGGGAG
This 245-nucleotide ribosomal RNA is filed under the name uncultured Lachnospiraceae bacterium. RNAcentral describes it as "partial 16S ribosomal RNA". It matches the Rfam family "Bacterial small subunit ribosomal RNA", at positions 524 to 768 of the family's 1533-position model. Lineage: Bacteria; Bacillati; Bacillota; Clostridia; Lachnospirales; Lachnospiraceae. The record is from RNAcentral.